Molecule: ribosomal RNA, 502 nt
Filed under: uncultured bacterium
Lineage: Bacteria
Description: partial 16S ribosomal RNA
Rfam family: Bacterial small subunit ribosomal RNA
Source: RNAcentral
AUUGAACGCUGGCGGCAGGCUUAACACAUGCAAGUCGAGCGGGGAAAGGUUGCUUUGGUAACUGACCUAGCGGCGGACGGGUGAGUAAUGCUUAGGAAUCUGCCUAUUAGUGGGGGACAACAUUCCGAAAGGAAUGCUAAUACCGCAUACGCCCUACGGGGGAAAGCAGGGGAUCUUCGGACCUUGCGCUAAUAGAUGAGCCUAAGUCGGAUUAGCUAGUUGGUGGGGUAAAGGCCUACCAAGGCGACGAUCUGUAGCGGGUCUGAGAGGAUGAUCCGCCACACUGGGACUGAGACACGGCCCAGACUCCUACGGGAGGCAGCAGUGGGGAAUAUUGGACAAUGGGCGGAAGCCUGAUCCAGCCAUGCCGCGUGUGUGAAGAAGGCCUUUUGGUUGUAAAGCACUUUAAGCGAGGAGGAGGCUCCUAUAGUUAAUACCUAAAGUGAGUGGACGUUACUCGCAGAAUAAGCACCGGCUAACUCUGUGCCAGCAGCCGCCGUAA